Molecule: long non-coding RNA, 729 nt
Organism: Eriocheir sinensis (Chinese mitten crab)
Lineage: Eukaryota; Metazoa; Arthropoda; Malacostraca; Decapoda; Varunidae
Exons: 3
Source: RefSeq, a predicted model, not a curated record
CGAAGCAAGCAGGCCGUGGUGAGUCGAGUCUUCGGUGACGUCACGGCCGGGAAGGCUGGCUCAGUGGUCUCAGGGAGGUGGGAGGGAACGGCCACGCCCGUCUGUUACGCUCCCGUGUCCGUCAUUACCGCUGCUCCUGCUUGAUUUACACUGAAGGAGAGGAGAGAACGAGAGACAGACUAAACAGAAGACGGGGAGCUGAGAUUGAUGUCCACUACACUGCCAUCACCUGCGUGCUAUACAGCGAAGGACGAGCGGCCCUUAAGUGUGUCGGAUAGGCAGGCUGCUUAACCACUCUGCAAGACAUCCCUCCACCCUGGCAAGAGAUUUUGAGCUGGACACAUGCCCCUCCUCCCUGGCGAGAGCAGCGGCGGGGGACGACCAGGCACCACAUCUGGAAGAAGAAAAAUUAAUACCACUCCCACUAAAGCAUAUAAUGAAACCAGAUUGGCGAUGUCAUUUAUGCAUUGCCUCCUGCUGGUCCUUUCCUCCCUGCCGCUUUGCCACACAAUCCCAACACCUGUCUCCUCCUCUCAUAUGUUUGCUAUAGCUAACAUAUCAGAGGAAGAGACAGGUGUUGGGGCUGCGUGGGGAGGGAAGGACCCGAAGGAGUCAACACAGAAUUGAUCUUGCCAAUCUGGUUUCACUGUGAUACAGGAGUCGCUUGUAUAUUCUAAUAUAUUUCUGUAAUGCAAGAAAUGCUGCUUAAUAAAGGCACUGGUGUGGACA